RNAcentral lists this long non-coding RNA (220 nucleotides) under Gossypium barbadense (sea-island cotton). Its description in RNAcentral is "long non-coding RNA (GBAR_LNC015674)". Lineage: Eukaryota; Viridiplantae; Streptophyta; Magnoliopsida; Malvales; Malvaceae. The record is from RNAcentral.
GAAGAUCAAAGCUCCUAGUGUUGGAGACGGGGUGGUAGAGAAGGAAAAACCUAAGAGUAAUCCCACACAAGUCGAAAACGAGGAUAGAAUCAUUUCACCACCACCACUUAGACCAGGGACCAUACCCUUUUCAAGAUGUUUGGAAGAGAAGAAGAAGUGCGAUGAUGAGGAAUUCAUAGACUUCCUCAAGAUGUUUAAAGCCUUGUACGUGAACCUCCCC